RNAcentral lists this long non-coding RNA (225 nucleotides) under Rosa chinensis. Its description in RNAcentral is "sRNA RchiOBHm_Chr6g0298991". Lineage: Eukaryota; Viridiplantae; Streptophyta; Magnoliopsida; Rosales; Rosaceae. The record is from RNAcentral.
AUGAUUAUUAGUGAGAUUGGAUAUAGAUCAAAGAAUAGGACUUGGAUUUGUAGAACCUAUGAUGUUGUUAUUUUCUUAGUUAUUAGGUGAAGUAGUGGAGUGUGGCAUGUGAAUAUCUUUUGUAUGAAGAAUCUGAAAUGAUCCAAUUUGUGAUUGCUUUAGCAAUACUUUAGGUUGAUACAUUAUUAAAAAGAAUAGUGAUAAAUGAUAAGUAAUUAUAAAUUG